RNAcentral lists this ribosomal RNA (930 nucleotides) under Triticum aestivum (bread wheat). RNAcentral's name for it is "partial small subunit ribosomal RNA". Lineage: Eukaryota; Viridiplantae; Streptophyta; Magnoliopsida; Poales; Poaceae. The record is from RNAcentral.
AUGGUGCACGAGACGAUCGCCUCCUCGUCCUGUCACAUAGUUUGCCUCCAGGAGUCUAAGCUGGAGGAUGUUGACCAAUUUUUUGCCACCUACCUAGGCGGAAAUUGGCUACGGAGCUUCGCCCAACGGCCUGCGGUGGGCACUAGAGGCGGCAUGUUAAUGCUUUGGGAUGAUAGUGUCAUCCGUAUUUCGGACGUCCACACCUCCGAAUUUUGCUUGUCGGUAACUGUCAAUGUGCUUCACUCUGAGACGUCGUUCAAGUUAACUACUAUUUAUGGACCCACGGCUUCCAGCAGAAAGGAUGAUUUCUUCGAGGACUUGAUCGCCCAAAAACCAACUACUGGAACCAAAUGGAUUGCCAUGGGCGAUUUCAACCAAAUCUCAAGAGCCAGAGACAAAAACAAUGGAAAUGUCAACCGCAGCCGUAUUAACCGCUUUCGUGAUGCUCUUGUCUCAUGCGAACUCAAAGAAAUUCGCCUACAGAACAGACGUUUCACUUGGAGUAAUGAGCGGCAAAACCCCACUUUAUGCAAGCUUGACUAGGUCUUCUGUAAUGCUGACUGGGACAUGCAUUUUGGAUCGCACGUGCUCCACGCCAUCUCUUCCUCACUCUCAGAUCAUUGUCCUCUCCUCCUCGCUGAUGAUGAAGGGCCAAAGCAACCAAGAUGCUUCAAGUUUGAGAAUUUCUGGGCAUGUCUUCCAGGCUUCCGAGACAUCGUGCUCAAAGCUUGGGCGGAUCCAUGCGAGCAUACUGAGCCUUGCCAACGGCUUUUCUUCAAGCUAAAGCACACAGGAUGGCUCCUGGCUAAAUGGAGCAAGGGUCUUUUCUCAAAGGCGAAGCUUCACCUGCAUGCGGCCCUCUACAUCAUCCUCCAUCUCGACAUUGCCCAGGAAACACGCCCACUCUCUAUGGCGGAAAGGGACCUUUGA